AGCGGACGCUGGCGGCAGGCUUAACACAUGCAAGUCGAGCGGGCCUUUCGGGGUCAGCGGCGGACGGGUGAGUAACGCGUGGGAACGUGCCCUCUGGUUCGGAAUAACUCAGGGAAACUUGAGCUAAUACCGGAUACGCCCUUUUGGGGAAAGGCUUGCUGCCGGAGGAUCGGCCCGCGUCUGAUUAGCUAGUUGGUGAGGUAACGGCUCACCAAGGCGACGAUCAGUAGCUGGUCUGAGAGGAUGAUCAGCCACACUGGGACUGAGACACGGCCCAGACUCCUACGGGAGGCAGCAGUGGGGAAUAUUGGACAAUGGGCGCAAGCCUGAUCCAGCCAUGCCGCGUGAGUGAUGAAGGCCUUAGGGUUGUAAAGCUCUUUUAUCCGGGACGAUAAUGACGGUACCGGAGCAAUAAGCCCCGGCUAACUUCGUG
RNAcentral lists this ribosomal RNA (433 nucleotides) under uncultured bacterium. RNAcentral's name for it is "partial 16S ribosomal RNA". It matches the Rfam family "Bacterial small subunit ribosomal RNA", at positions 29 to 507 of the family's 1533-position model. The record is from RNAcentral.